This 331-nucleotide unclassified non-coding RNA is filed under the name soil metagenome. RNAcentral describes it as "partial contains 5.8S ribosomal RNA, internal transcribed spacer 2, and large subunit ribosomal RNA". The stretch from base 1 to 120 matches the Rfam family "5.8S ribosomal RNA", at positions 35 to 154 of the family's 154-position model. The record is from RNAcentral.
GAUGAAGAACGCAGUGAAAUGCGAUAAGUAAUGUGAAUUGCAGAAUUCAGUGAAUCAUCGAAUCUUUGAACGCACAUUGCGCCCCCUGGUAUUCCGGGGGGCAUGCCUGUUCGAGCGUCAUUUCACCACUCAAGCCUCGCUUGGUAUUGGGCAACGCGGUCCGCCGCGUGCCUCAAAUCGACCGGCUGGGUCUUCUGUCCCCUAAGCGUUGUGGAAACUAUUCGCUAAAGGGUGUUCGGGAGGCUACGCCGUAAAACAACCCCAUUUCUAAGGUUGACCUCGGAUCAGGUAGGGAUACCCGCUGAACUUAAGCAUAUCAAUAAGCGGACGA